UAAAUAACCAGCUUUUAUGGUGGCAAUUGUUUUUCAAUUGCCUUAAAAGGGAAUCCGGUGCAAAUCCGGAGCGGUCCCGCCACUGUAACAAGGAGCCUUAUGUCAAAAAAGCCACUGUCUAUUUAGAGACGGGAAGGCGGUAUAAGGCAGUGACUUGAAGCCAGGAGACCUGCCAUAAAUCGCAGCACACA
This 191-nucleotide non-coding RNA is filed under the name Priestia megaterium. Lineage: Bacteria; Bacillati; Bacillota; Bacilli; Caryophanales; Bacillaceae. The record is from RNAcentral.